RNAcentral lists this ribosomal RNA (468 nucleotides) under uncultured bacterium. Its description in RNAcentral is "partial 16S ribosomal RNA". It matches the Rfam family "Bacterial small subunit ribosomal RNA", at positions 28 to 507 of the family's 1533-position model. The record is from RNAcentral.
GACGAACGCUGGCGGCAGGCUUAACACAUGCAAGUCGAACGGAAAGACCGUGCGAUCGUGGUCUGCCCGCGUGGGGGACGGGUGCGGAACACGUGAGUAACCUGCCCUUGAUUUUCGGAGAACUUCAGGAAACGGCAGCUAAUCCAGGACAGCAUCCCCUCCUGCAUGGUGGGGGGUGGAAAGUUUCGGCGGUUGGGGAUGGACUCGCGGCUGAUCAGCUUGGUGGUGGGCUAGUGGCUUACCCAGGCUUAGACUGGUCGCCGGCUCGAGAGGGUGACCGGGGACAAUAGGACUAAGAUACGGAGCAGACUCCUACAGGAGACAGCAGUCGCGAAUAUUGCACAGUGAGCCGAAGCGUGAUGAAGCGACGCCGCGUGCGUGAAGACGGACUGUGGGUAGUAAAAAGCUUUCGCCUGUGACGAAGCUUGAGUGACGGUAACGGGUAAAGAAGCACCGGCUAACUACGUG